RNAcentral lists this ribosomal RNA (433 nucleotides) under uncultured bacterium. RNAcentral describes it as "bacterial SSU rRNA". It matches the Rfam family "Bacterial small subunit ribosomal RNA", at positions 44 to 524 of the family's 1533-position model. The record is from RNAcentral.
CUGCCUACACAUGCAAGUCGAACGAUGCUUUCGGGCAUAGUGGCGCACGGGUGCGUAACGCGUGGGAAUCUGCCCUUAGGUUCGGAAUAACAGCGAGAAAUUGCUGCUAAUACCGGAUGAUGACGUAAGUCCAAAGAUUUAUCGCCUAGGGAUGAGCCCGCGUAGGAUUAGCUAGUUGGUGUGGUAAAGGCGCACCAAGGCGACGAUCCUUAGCUGGUCUGAGAGGAUGAUCAGCCACACUGGGACUGAGACACGGCCCAGACUCCUACGGGAGGCAGCAGUGGGGAAUAUUGGACAAUGGGCGCAAGCCUGAUCCAGCAAUGCCGCGUGAGUGAUGAAGGCCUUAGGGUUGUAAAGCUCUUUUACCCGGGAUGAUAAUGACAGUACCGGGAGAAUAAGCCCCGGCUAACUCCGUGCCAGCAGCCGCGGUAAU